This 1646-nucleotide ribosomal RNA is filed under the name Xenopus fraseri (Fraser's clawed frog). RNAcentral describes it as "16S ribosomal RNA". It matches the Rfam family "Bacterial large subunit ribosomal RNA". The record is from RNAcentral. Lineage: Eukaryota; Metazoa; Chordata; Amphibia; Anura; Pipidae.
GCCAAAGACCUAGCAUUNAUCAUUUUCUACUAAAAAUGUCUUAACAAACGCACAAACAACUAAUUAAAUNNUUUUUUGCUUAUAGUAUAGGUGAUAGAAAUAAAAUUUAUAUAGCUAUAGAAAAAGUACCGUAAGGGAAAGGUGAAAUAAAAAUGAAAUAGAUUACUAAGCAAUAAAAAGCAGAGAUUGAGUCUCGUACCUUUUGCAUAAUGGUCUAACCAGUCAUAAUCAAGCAAAACGAAUUUAAGUUUGACCCCCCGAAACUAAGCGAGCUACUCCGAGACAGCUUUAUAGAGCAAACCCAUCUCUGUGGCAAAAGAGUGGGAAGAUCUCCGAGUAGGGGUGACAGACCAAACGAGCCUAGUGAUAGCUGGUUGCUCAGGAAACGAAUUUUAGUUCGACUCUAAGAUCUAGUUUUAACAAAUAAAAGUAAAAACUUAAACUUAGAAUUUAUUUAAUCAGGGUACAGCCUGAUUAAAACAGGAUACAACCUAAAAUGUUGGGUAAAGAUUAUGGUGACUUAGGUUAUUGAGUUAGUUGGCCUAAAAGCAGCCAUCUACAAAGAAAGCGUCAAAGCUCGCUCAAAAAUACCUCCUUAAAUUCGAUUAAUUUCUCUAAACCCUCACAUCUUACUGAGCUAUUCUANNUUUUAUAGAAGAACUUAUGUUAGAACUAGUAAUGUGAAUUUCACUAUUCUCCNAAAAAUGUAGGUGUAAAUCAGAUCGAAUAAAUCACUGAUAUUUAACGCUUUCUAUGAGACUAUUGCAUCAACAACACAAGAAAAACAUGCAUUUAAUAACGUUAAUCUAACACAAGAACANUUCAAGGAAAGAUAAAAAGACGCAGAAGGAACUCGGCAAACCCGAACCUCGCCUGUUUACCAAAAACAUCGCCUCUUGCUAAUUAACACGUAUAAGAGGUCCAGCCUGCCCAGUGACUAUAUGUUCAACGGCCGCGGUAUUCUGACCGUGCAAAGGUAGCGUAAUCACUUGUCUUUUAAAUAAAGACUGGUAUGAAUGGCAUCACGAAGGUUCAACUGUCUCCUGCAUCCUAUCCAUAAAACUGACCUCCCCGUGCAGAGGCGGGGAUACGACCAUAAGACGAGAAGACCCUAUGGAGCUUCAAACUAAAGGCAACUGCCAACUAUUAUUUAACCACCAGGGAUUAACAAAUAAACAAGCAUGUAUGACCUAAAGUUUUCGGUUGGGGCGACCACGGAGGAAAAAAAAUCCUCCUUGAUGAAUAGGACAUUUAAUCCUUAACCAAGAAUAACAAUUCUAAGUAACAAAANUUUUAGACUAUAAUUGAUCCAGUCUAACUGAUCAACGAACCAAGUUACCCUAGGGAUAACAGCGCAAUCCAUUUCAAAAGUUCUUAUCGACAAAUGGGUUUACGACCUCGAUGUUGGAUCAGGGCAUCCCAGUGGUGCAGCCGCUACUAAAGGUUCGUUUGUUCAACGAUUAAAGCCCUACGUGAUCUGAGUUCAGACCGGAGUAAUCCAGGUCAGUUUCUAUCUAUGAAGAAUUUUCUCUAGUACGAAAGGACCGAGGAAAUAAGGCCAAUGUUNUUAAUAAGCCUUACUCUAUAUCAAUGAAAACAACUAAAUUGAGAAAUAGACCUACGAUAUUCGCCCAAGAUUAGGGCUA